Molecule: ribosomal RNA, 941 nt
Filed under: Ralstonia sp.
Lineage: Bacteria; Pseudomonadati; Pseudomonadota; Betaproteobacteria; Burkholderiales; Burkholderiaceae
Description: bacterial SSU rRNA
Rfam family: Bacterial small subunit ribosomal RNA
Source: RNAcentral
UGAUGGCGAGUGGCGAACGGGUGAGUAAUACAUCGGAACGUGCCCUGUAGUGGGGGAUAACUAGUCGAAAGAUUAGCUAAUACCGCAUACGACCUGAGGGUGAAAGUGGGGGACCGCAAGGCCUCAUGCUAUAGGAGCGGCCGAUGUCUGAUUAGCUAGUUGGUGAGGUAAAGGCUCACCAAGGCGACGAUCAGUAGCUGGUCUGAGAGGACGAUCAGCCACACUGGGACUGAGACACGGCCCAGACUCCUACGGGAGGCAGCAGUGGGGAAUUUUGGACAAUGGGCGAAAGCCUGAUCCAGCAAUGCCGCGUGUGUGAAGAAGGCCUUCGGGUUGUAAAGCACUUUUGUCCGGAAAGAAAUCGCACUUACUAAUACUAGGUGUGGAUGACGGUACCGGAAGAAUAAGGACCGGCUAACUACGUGCCAGCAGCCGCGGUAAUACGUAGGGUCCAAGCGUUAAUCGGAAUUACUGGGCGUAAAGCGUGCGCAGGCGGUUGUGCAAGACCGAUGUGAAAUCCCCGAGCUUAACUUGGGAAUUGCAUUGGUGACUGCACGGCUAGAGUGUGUCAGAGGGGGGUAGAAUUCCACGUGUAGCAGUGAAAUGCGUAGAGAUGUGGAGGAAUACCGAUGGCGAAGGCAGCCCCCUGGGAUAACACUGACGCUCAUGCACGAAAGCGUGGGGAGCAAACAGGAUUAGAUACCCUGGUAGUCCACGCCCUAAACGAUGUCAACUAGUUGUUGGGGAUUCAUUUCCUUAGUAACGUAGCUAACGCGUGAAGUUGACCGCCCUGGGGGAGUACGGUCGCAAGAUUAAAAACUCAAAGGAAUUGACGGGGACCCGCACAAGCGGUGGAUGAUGUGAUUAAUUCGAUGCAACGCGAAAACCUUACCUACCCUUGACAUGCCACUACGAAAGCAGAGAUGCAUAGUGCUCGAAGA